Molecule: ribosomal RNA, 294 nt
Filed under: uncultured bacterium
Lineage: Bacteria
Description: partial 16S ribosomal RNA
Rfam family: Bacterial small subunit ribosomal RNA
Source: RNAcentral
AUGCAAGUCGAGGGGAAACGAUAUUGGAAGCUUGCUUCCGAUAGGCGUCGACCGGCGCACGGGUGAGUAACGCGUGUGCAACCAACCCCGUACCGGGAGAUAACCCGCGGAAACGUGGACUAACAUCCCAUGAUACUCGAGAGCCGCAUGGCUCUAGAUUUAAAAUUCCGGUGGUACGGGACGGGCACGCGCGACAUUAGGUAGUUGGCGGGGUAAGGGCCCACCAAGCCGACGAUGUCUAGGGGUUCUGAGAGGAAGGUCCCCACAUUGGAACUGAGACACGGUCCAAACUCC